RNAcentral lists this ribosomal RNA (284 nucleotides) under Cornopsylla rotundiconis. RNAcentral's name for it is "partial 12S ribosomal RNA". The record is from RNAcentral. Lineage: Eukaryota; Metazoa; Arthropoda; Insecta; Hemiptera; Psyllidae.
GAGUAGUAAAAGAUAAGAUCUUAAAACUUAAAAAAUUUGGCGGUAUUUUAUCUUAUUAGAGGAACCUGUUUAUUAAUUGAUAAUCCACAACUUUAUUUACUUUUAUUAAAUUAUUUGUAUACCGUUGUCAUGAAUCUAUUAAAAGAUUAAUUUUAUUUUUUAUUUAAGCUAUGUUAGAUCAAGGUGCAGUAUGUAAAGAACAAAAUGGGUUACAUUAUUAGUAUGAAGAAAUGGGAUUUAAAAGUAAAAUUAUAGAUUUUAAUGAAUAAAGAUUCUGAAAUAUG